Molecule: transfer RNA, 83 nt
Filed under: Achromobacter sp. 2789STDY5608621
Lineage: Bacteria; Pseudomonadati; Pseudomonadota; Betaproteobacteria; Burkholderiales; Alcaligenaceae
Description: tRNA-Val(gac)
Source: RNAcentral
UGCAGGAUCUGGUGGGACAGUUCGGUAAGGGCGUUGACGCCGCCCUCGGGACGGGCGCCGGCGUGCGAGGUCUUGCCCUGCAC